Pteropus vampyrus (large flying fox) is the source of this 106-nucleotide small nuclear RNA. The record is from Ensembl. NCBI's taxonomy places the organism in Eukaryota, Metazoa, Chordata, Mammalia, Chiroptera, Pteropodidae.
GUGUUCGCUUCAACAACACAUAUACUAAAAUUGGAACAACACAGAGAAAAUUAGUGUGGCCCUGUGCAAGGAUGACAUGCAAAUUUGUGAAGCAUUCCAUAUUUUU